Molecule: ribosomal RNA, 727 nt
Filed under: uncultured soil bacterium
Lineage: Bacteria
Description: bacterial SSU rRNA
Rfam family: Bacterial small subunit ribosomal RNA
Source: RNAcentral
UUACACAUGCAAGUCGAACGGCAGCGCGGGAGCAAUCCUGGCGGCGAGUGGCGAACGGGUGAGUAAUACAUCGGAACGUGCCCAAUCGUGGGGGAUGACGCAGCGAAAGCUGUGCUAAUACCGCAUAAGAUCUACGGAUGAAAGCAGGGGACUCGCAAGAGCCUUGCGCGACUGGAGCGGCCGAUGGCAGAUUAGGUAGUUGGUGAGGUAAAGGCUCACCAAGCCUUCGAUCUGUAGCUGGUCUGAGAGGACGACCAGCCACACUGGGACUGAGACACGGCCCAGACUCCUACGGGAGGCAGCAGUGGGGAAUUUUGGACAAUGGGCGCAAGCCUGAUCCAGCAAUGCCGCGUGCAGGAUGAAGGCCUUCGGGUUGUAAACUGCUUUUGUACGGAACGAAACGGUCUCUCUUAAUACGGGGGGCUAAUGACGGUACCGUAAGAAUAAGCACCGGCUAACUACGUGCCAGCAGCCGCGGUAAUACGUAGGGUGCGAGCGUUAAUCGGAAUUACUGGGCGUAAAGCGUGCGCAGGCGGUUAUAUAAGACAGAUGUGAAAUCCCCGGGCUCAACCUGGGACCUGCAUUUGUGACUGUAUAGCUAGAGUACGGUAGAGGGGGAUGGAAUUCCGCGUGUAGCAGUGAAAUGCGUAGAUAUGCGGAGGAACACCGAUGGCGAAGGCAAUCCCCUGGACCUGUACUGACGCUCAUGCACGAAAGCGUGGGGAGC